Molecule: non-coding RNA, 193 nt
Filed under: Heterosigma akashiwo
Lineage: Eukaryota; Raphidophyceae; Chattonellales; Chattonellaceae
Source: RNAcentral
GCGCUUUUGGACGCAGCAUUCACUCACCCACACGCGUGUGCUGACUCCAAUUCUUGCUUCCAAAUGAAGCAAGCCACCUCCACCAUUUACCUGCUCUUUUUAGCAAUGUUGUUUUCCAGCCAAGUUUUUGCGUUUAAAUCAUCCCCGUCGAUUUUCAGGCAUGCCACGGCCGGGAUGCAGAGGAGAGGCCAUA